This 253-nucleotide ribosomal RNA is filed under the name uncultured bacterium. RNAcentral describes it as "partial 16S ribosomal RNA". It matches the Rfam family "Bacterial small subunit ribosomal RNA", at positions 524 to 776 of the family's 1533-position model. The record is from RNAcentral.
UACGGGGGGGGCAAGCGUUGUUCGGAAUUACUGGGCGUAAAGGGCUCGUAGGCGGCCAACUAAGUCAGACGUGAAAUCCCUCGGCUUAACCGGGGAACUGCAUCUGAUACUGGGUGGCUUGAGUUCGGGAGAGGGAUGCGGAAUUCCAGGUGUAGCGGUGAAAUGCGUAGAUAUCUGGAGGAAUACCGGUGGCGAAGGCGGCAUCCUGGACCGGCAUUGACGCUGAUGAGCGAAAGCUAGGGGAGCAAACGGG